RNAcentral lists this ribosomal RNA (436 nucleotides) under uncultured bacterium. RNAcentral's name for it is "bacterial SSU rRNA". It matches the Rfam family "Bacterial small subunit ribosomal RNA", at positions 30 to 459 of the family's 1533-position model. The record is from RNAcentral.
AUUGAACGCUGGCGGCAGGCCUAACACAUGCAAGUCGAACGGUAACAGGAAGCAGCUUGCUGCUUCGCUGACGAGUGGCGGACGGGUGAGUAAUGUCUGGGAAACUGCCUGAUGGAGGGGGAUAACUACUGGAAACGGUAGCUAAUACCGCAUAACGUCGCAAGACCAAAGAGGGGGGACCUUCGGGCCUCUUGCCAUCGGAUGUGCCCAGAUGGGAUUAGCUAGUAGGUGGGGUAACGGCUCACCUAGGCGACGAUCCCUAGCUGGUCUGAGAGGAUGACCAGCCACACUGGAACUGAGACACGGUCCAGACUCCUACGGGAGGCAGCAGUGGGGAAUAUUGCACAAUGGGCGCAAGCCUGAUGCAGCCAUGCCGCGUGUAUGAAGAAGGCCUUCGGGUUGUAAAGUACUUUCAGCGGGGAGGAAGGGAGGUAAA